AAUUCUCAGCCCAAUUUCCAUUCCAAAAAGAAACCAAAAGAACCCCAUCAACUCAACUAACGUGACCCGACCCCUGCGCCUUCAUCUUGUUCUCUGCGUAAACUACCGACGUAAAACCAGCAAAAUCGCGUCCAACUCCAGACGCAAACCAAAGCGCGAGUCCAGCAGCCUAGCGCGUCGUCCCUUUCCUCUCUCUUAUCUGAUUGUCGGAAUCCAGGUGUCGAGAUCUCCCAUUGCCUUUGUCCUUUCUUCAGAAAGCAAAUGUCUGCGAUUCUCAAUCCGUUGGAGAGGUGUACAAUUUUUUGAGUUGGCAACCUUAUCACUUGAAGGGAAUUUGAAUUUGAAAUUCAAAAUUCAAUCGGUUUCUCCCUCUUUCUGCCCUAAAUAUCCCUUUAUAAAUAUCGGCUCAUUCUUCAUUGCUAGGAGUUGGAGAAAAGAGCAAAGAAAUUUUGGGAAAAAGUUGAGAAAAAAGGGUUGGAGAUAGUUACAAUAAGUUGGGGAAAAAAGUCUGGAAGUUUAGAGUCGGGAUUUCUUUUGAACAGUCACAUUUAUAUUCAAGAACUUUUAUAUGUUUUCUUUAAUCUUAAGUUGUGAGAGAACCAUUGUUCGAGUCGGGUUUAUUUCGUGGUCAGCUGCUCGAGAUUCAAACUCGUAUGGUGGAAGAGCUCGUCCCUACUCGUUUGGUCUCAUUUCGCUGGCUGAAGAAAGAUCGCAGGAAUUGAAGAGGGCUGCAUAUGCUUGGUAUGCAGUCCAAUGUACAUGAAAAUCAGUCAAAAUAUGGCCUAUAUACAACUAUAUACAUUUGUUGUAUACAUAGGAGUUUGAGAGUGAAAAGGGGCCAAACUCAUCCAUUUGCAGGACAAGUUUUGGGCCAAAAGCCCAUCUGAUUUGAAAUUGGGACAAAUAGCCCAAAUUCGAACUUUCUCCCUUAUUCUAUUUAUUUAUUUGUUAUUAUGUUGCUUAACAUUGUGGCUUAACUUAAUUAAUUCCCCAAAGAUAAUCAUUUCUCUUUUAUGUCCAAAAUAUAUAUUUAUUACUUAGUUUUAUUUUCA
This is a non-coding RNA of Solanum lycopersicum (tomato), 1052 nucleotides long. The record is from RefSeq and is a predicted model, not a curated record. NCBI's taxonomy places the organism in Eukaryota, Viridiplantae, Streptophyta, Magnoliopsida, Solanales, Solanaceae.